GUGAACUUUUCAACAUGCAUGUAUCCUGCCAACCCAUCAGUGAAGCCAGAUCGGGUUCAUUUUUUCUGUUAAUUGCAAAGAAAAUUCCUAUAUGGCCGUGGGUGUGAAUCAGAUCUCUGGCGAAGCUGGUGACCGCAGCGGGGCGAGAAUGAGAAAAGGCGAGGUGGUGUCAACGGCU
This 178-nucleotide long non-coding RNA is filed under the name Fukomys damarensis (Damara mole-rat). RNAcentral describes it as "lncRNA (ENSFDAG00000021687.1)". Lineage: Eukaryota; Metazoa; Chordata; Mammalia; Rodentia; Bathyergidae. The record is from RNAcentral.